AACACGUGAGUAACCUGCCCCUGACUCUGGGAUAAGCCCGGGAAACUGGGUCUAAUACCGGAUAUGCACCGUGGACCGCAUGGUUCUUGGUGGAAAGAUUUUUUGGUCAGGGAUGGACUCGCGGCCUAUCAGCUUGUUGGUGAGGUAAUGGCUCACCAAGGCGACGACGGGUAGCCGGCCUGAGAGGGUGACCGGCCACACUGGGACUGAGACACGGCCCAGACUCCUACGGGAGGCAGCAGUGGGGAAUAUUGCACAAUGGGCGAAAGCCUGAUGCAGCGACGCCGCGUGAGGGAUGACGGCCUUCGGGUUGUAAACCUCUUUCAGUAGGGAAGAAGCGAAAGUGACGGUACCUGCAGAAGAAGCGCCGGCUAACUACGUGCCAGCAGCCGCGGUAAUACGUAGGGCGCAAGCGUUAUCCGGAAUUAUUGGGCGUAAAGAGCUCGUAGGCGGUUUGUCGCGUCUGCCGUGAAAGUCCGGGGCUCAACCUUGGAUCUGCGGUGGGUACGGGCAGACUAGAGUGAUGUAGGGGAGACUGGAAUUCCUGGUGUAGCGGUGAAAUGCGCAGAUAUCAGGAGG
Molecule: ribosomal RNA, 579 nt
Filed under: uncultured bacterium
Lineage: Bacteria
Description: bacterial SSU rRNA
Rfam family: Bacterial small subunit ribosomal RNA
Source: RNAcentral